CGGGCCGUCGACGAACACAGGACGUCAGGCGCCGCCGUUGAUGGCGCCGGUCUUGAGACCGCCCUCGGUGAUGUUCCACUUCUUCAACAGCCCGUC
This 96-nucleotide transfer RNA is filed under the name Actinoplanes campanulatus. Its description in RNAcentral is "tRNA-Asn". Lineage: Bacteria; Bacillati; Actinomycetota; Actinomycetes; Micromonosporales; Micromonosporaceae. The record is from RNAcentral.